Molecule: transfer RNA, 75 nt
Filed under: Candidatus Bathyarchaeota archaeon
Lineage: Archaea; Thermoproteati; Candidatus Bathyarchaeota
Description: tRNA-Arg
Rfam family: tRNA
About the family: Transfer RNA (tRNA) molecules are approximately 80 nucleotides in length. Their secondary structure includes four short double-helical elements and three loops (D, anti-codon, and T loops).
Source: RNAcentral
GGGCGUGUAGCUCAGCACGGACAGAGCACCAGCCUCCUAAGUUGGGGGUCGUGGGUUCAAAUCCCACCACGCCCG